GCAGCACUCCAUCGAGCAGGUGGUGGGCUAAAUUACAGAACACCGGUGUUCGAACUUCAUUCUCUUGUGCAAGUCUUAAGAUCCUUCAUAUUACUACUGUCAUUGAAGAAGAAGAAGAAGAAGAAGAAGAAGAAGUAGAGAAAGAGAACUUACCUGGGUUAAGAGAGACAGAGAGCGAGAGUGAGCAAGAACCAUCAGCGGUAUAUGCUACAAUACGACAAACCGACUAUGGCAAAACACUGCGGCGACAGUGGCUAAACACACAAGAAAUUCCAAAACUCAAUGAUGUCAGGCUCAUUUUUAUGUGACAGAAGAAGAAGAAGAAGAAGAAGAAGAAGAAGAAGAGGAGAGCUUGCCUAGAAAACCCCACACACUUUUGUGUAGUCAACUAAAUUCUCCACACUUGGAUUUCGCAGCGGUGACUAGCAGCGACAAGGUGAUUUGCUGCAGGAACUUUGGCAGAAGCGGCAAGCAGAAAUGCAUCGAGGGAGAGGGGAAGAAAUUUUACUGGGACAGUCGGAGUUUUAAGGUGUGACUAAAAUUUAAAUUUAAAUGUUAAUAAAGACUGUUUAUAAGGCAGGAUUGGACAAUAAAUUAGGAGGUUAAUUCUUUUUAUAAGUUAAUAAUUAACAUAAAAUAAUAUAAUUAUAAUUAUAAGUAUUGUUAUUAAUUCAAACCUAAUUAAUAAUAAUAUUUUGGGAAAUCCUAAAAAAAAAUUGUGUUCGCGGCCGUGGUCGUCGCCGCCUGUUCAGUAGUCACCCCUUCAUUUUCUCUUCUAUUUUUCUCUCCCGGAAACCUUCAUUCCUAAUACAUAUGAAAUCAACCACGGCCGUCGCCUUUGGCAGCAGCUUCAAUAGCGGCACUCGCAAUUUGUGAUGUUACUAUUCCGCUGUCCCUCUCUAAUUCAAAUGUUUUUGAGACUUCUAAAGUUAGGGCUUCGAAGUGGAUGAAGAUUCUUAAUUUGAAGAUGUCAAGGGUUGCCAUUGCUGAGGUAGUGCAAGCUUAAUUAAUGGCUGGCGGUGUUUCAAGAUUGGGGUUUUUCCGAUAGCGAUGAGCAGGAAUUUCAGCGAAGACUUUAGUAGAGGAUGUGGAAUUAGAAAUUUAAAAAUGAAGCAGAAGCAGCGGCGGCGGCGGCGGCGGCGGCUAGGAUGGUUGUGAAGAAGUGGUGACUGAUGAAUAUAUGAAAUUGAUGAAAAUGAUGGCGAGAAUACUGGAUUCUAUUACAGAAUGAUGCAGGAACCCUCGCAUCUUUGACACCGUACCCAGGCUCCGACAUGGCGCGUCGCUUCGGGGCGAAGACCUAGCCCACCCAUGCCCACUUUUCGCUACACCCAGGUGGUUCAAGUGCAACGCGUCACUCGUAGGAGACGCCCCAGCAAAUAUUUGGGAAGGCCUGGAAGACCAAUCAAGUGGCUUGAUGAAUCAAACUAGGAAUUGUAGUAAAAGAUCAAGAUAUGCGGAGACGGCCCAGACACGUUAUGCACCAAGGGUGGAACAUAAAUACAAGAAUUCAGCCCAAUCCAAGGAGUAAAAGGUGGGAUUAGUGCUACUCCAAUGGAAGAGAUUGUGAGUUGCUUCCUUUUGAGUGUUGAGAAGUUCUAGCUUUUGAGUAAUUUGGUAACCGCACUCUGCAUACAUCAACUAAGGUUGAGUAAUUGAAACACACCGGCUCAGAUCAGUCUACUGAAGUCACAGUGCAACGGCAAGUGAUCAAUUGAUUCACCAUUAUGUUUAAAGAGCCGAUGGAAUGAUGCCACUUUCCAACCCUUUUUUGGCAGAUUGUCGAUUGCAAGGAUUCUGUUCAAUGAGGAGAACCAGACGAAGAGAGAAACCUUUUGAGGAAUCAAGUGCUCCAAAGAGUUCUGGAGGAAAUUUUAUCCUGCCUUCCGAACCUUUGUGCAAUCAAAUGGGAGCAGAGGUUGUUAGCUAAGAACUAACUGCUUCAGGCAAUCCAAGUGCAGAUGUCCUCAUUCAAUGUUGAAAGAUUAAUGGAAUAUGACAGAUUCCAUUGGGCUACAAUUGCGGUGUGCUCAGAACCUCUGGGAGCUCUGGCAAGAGUCAGAUUCCAAAAAGUGUUGCCAUGUGCUCUAUAUCUAAAAUAUAAUUCACCUUUGCUUCCUGCAGGCUGCCAUAGAGAAGAUGUUGGGUGCUAUGAAAAGAAAUGAAGAUUGUAUACAGUGUAUGAAUUAAAUGGGAAUAUAAGGAAAGCUGUAUAUUAUUUUUUUUGAAAGAUACUGGUACACUAUUUAUUCUUUAUUUUAUUUUAUUUUUUACACAAGCUCUUUUUAUAAA
This is a long non-coding RNA of Malania oleifera, 2292 nucleotides long. RefSeq lists it as uncharacterized. Lineage: Eukaryota; Viridiplantae; Streptophyta; Magnoliopsida; Santalales; Ximeniaceae. The transcript is spliced from 3 exons. The record is from RefSeq and is a predicted model, not a curated record.